Long non-coding RNA from Caretta caretta (loggerhead turtle), 404 nucleotides. RefSeq lists it as uncharacterized. NCBI's taxonomy places the organism in Eukaryota, Metazoa, Chordata, Testudines, Cheloniidae. The record is from RefSeq and is a predicted model, not a curated record.
AUCAGUUCUUUUGAGGGCAGGGCGGAAGGAAGGAGAAGACAAUACCCCUAGAGAAGAGGAAUGUGGUGUGAAGAGGGGGGAAAAUACAACCACUACCAAUGGACAGGGUGAAAAAAAAUGGGAAAUUAAAAGAGCAGGGGAAAGAGGAUGUCAAAGAUGCACACCUCGACUUCCCCGUAUUCAAGCGGUCCCUGCGACUACAACCUAGUGCAGCGUUGGACCCCAUUCUGCAAACCCUUUGGGCUGGGAACUUCCCCUGAAGUCAACAGGGCUUUCCGCUCCCUGGCCAUCGCUAAACUGGGCCCUAAGCAUGCACAACGUGCUCAUCAUCAUUGCAUGUGUUAAUUAUGCUGUUUAGUCAGAUCAUAUUACAAAUAAAACAACUGGAGUUGAGGAAAACUUGA